GCUGCAAAAGAAAUGAGUCUAAUUUGAAGUUUUGUCUGAUUCUGAGUAAACUGUUAGGUCGCCAACUCUUGGUUUUUCGUUGUCGGGAAAGUCGACACAAUUUCCUCUGAUUCCUGUCGGUAUGUAACGUUUCUACUUUGUGAGAUUGAAAAUUGAAAAAAAAAUUAAGCGUGAUUGAUGAGAGAUUUGCUUACAUCAGCUUCGUCUGCCUUUGGUGUAGUCAUUGAUCUUGCAAGAGAGAAAAUUUGAAUAUGUUAAUUUGGUUGUUCUGUUUUGUUAUUCGUCUCGGUUAGUUAAAUGUCAACUG
Molecule: long non-coding RNA, 307 nt
Filed under: Brassica napus (rape)
Lineage: Eukaryota; Viridiplantae; Streptophyta; Magnoliopsida; Brassicales; Brassicaceae
Description: long non-coding RNA (BNAP_LNC017647)
Source: RNAcentral